GGGAGUGAAAUAGAACCUGAAACCCUGCACUUACAAGCUGUGGAAGCACAUUUCUUGUGUGACCGCGUACUUUUUGUAGAACGGGCCAACGAGUUACGUUAAGUAGCAAGGUUAAGCACUUAAGGUGUGGAGCCGUAGCGAAAGCGAGUUUUAACUGAGCGUUCAGUUACUUGACGUAGACCCGAAACCGGGCGACCUACCCAUGAGCAGGAUGAAGCGAAAGUAAAAUUUCGUGGAGGUCCGAACCCACGAGCGUUGAAAAGCUCGGGGAUGACUUGUGGGUAGCGGUGAAAUUCCAAUCGAGCCCGGAGAUAGCUGGUUCUCCCCGAAAUAGCUUUAGGGCUAGCCUCAAGGUGAGAGAUACGGAGGUAGAGCACUGAAUGUCCUAGGGGGUAUUGCACCUACCGAAGACUAUCAAACUCCGAAUGCCGUCAUCUU
Molecule: ribosomal RNA, 438 nt
Filed under: Clostridioides difficile
Lineage: Bacteria; Bacillati; Bacillota; Clostridia; Peptostreptococcales; Peptostreptococcaceae
Description: partial 23S ribosomal RNA
Rfam family: Bacterial large subunit ribosomal RNA
Source: RNAcentral